Molecule: unclassified non-coding RNA, 200 nt
Filed under: uncultured Thelebolus
Lineage: Eukaryota; Fungi; Ascomycota; Leotiomycetes; Thelebolales; Thelebolaceae
Description: sequence contains ITS2
Source: RNAcentral
UUAAGUUCAGCGGGUAUCCCUACCUGAUCCGAGGCCAACCUGAAAAAUUGGGGUUAUUGGCAAGUAACCACUUGGAUCUCCAAAGCGAGAAGAAUUACUACGCUUGAAGCCAAAUUGCACCGCCACUGAUUUUAAGACCUGCCAGAAACUGGCAAUGUCCAAUACCAAGCAAAGCUUGAGGGUUGUAAUGACGCUCGAAC